GAUGAACGCUAGCGGCAGGCCUAAUACAUGCAAGUCGAACGGUAACGGGCCUUCGGGUGCCGACGAGUGGCGAACGGGUGAGUAAUGCAUCGGAACGUACCUUUCAGUGGGGGAUAACGUAGCGAAGGUUACGCUAAUACCGCAUAUUCUGUGAGCAGGAAAGCAGGGGAUCGCAAGACCUUGCGCUGAUUGAGCGGCCGAUGUCAGAUUAGCUAGUUGGUGAGGUAAAGGCUCACCAAGGCGACGAUCUGUAGCGGGUCUGAGAGGAUGAUCCGCCACACUGGAACUGAGACACGGUCCAGACUCCUACGGGAGGCAGCAGUGGGGAAUUUUGGACAAUGGGGGCAACCCUGAUCCAGCCAUGCCGCGUGAGUGAAGAAGGCCU
Molecule: ribosomal RNA, 385 nt
Filed under: uncultured bacterium
Lineage: Bacteria
Description: bacterial SSU rRNA
Rfam family: Bacterial small subunit ribosomal RNA
Source: RNAcentral